UAUUGAACCCACUUUUUGAUAAAAUUUAAAAUUAGUUGAAACAAUAAUCAUGUUGUGCAUUCAAAAAUUUAUUUCCUUUUAAAUUUUACUAUAGUCUUUUCAAUAAUGAACUUCAUCAAGACAAAAUAGUAUAAUUGUACGUGUUAUAUAUUAGUAAAUGACUUUUAGUUACUUAUAUAAAGAUAUAUAUUUGAUAGCAUUAAUAA
This 206-nucleotide unclassified non-coding RNA is filed under the name Hevea brasiliensis (rubber tree). The record is from RNAcentral. Lineage: Eukaryota; Viridiplantae; Streptophyta; Magnoliopsida; Malpighiales; Euphorbiaceae.